This 430-nucleotide long non-coding RNA is filed under the name Zonotrichia albicollis (white-throated sparrow). RNAcentral describes it as "lncRNA (ENSZALG00000000361.1)". Lineage: Eukaryota; Metazoa; Chordata; Aves; Passeriformes; Passerellidae. The record is from RNAcentral.
GUCAGAGAAGGGUUGCUAGUGAGAACUGAUAACUCUGUGACAACUUGGUCAGCAUGGCAAAAAGCAGAGAGUAUGGAGAGUAGCAUGAAGUGUUGCGGAUACACAGGAAUUCCUAAUCCCAAAAUGAAAACUUGUUGGAGUUGCUCCAAGGCCAAGAAGCAAGGGGACAGCACCAGGCCCAAAUCAGAGCAGACACAUAAGAAGCCUUCUGGGACAAGAGCAAUAUCCCCAACCAGCCGGAUCAGGUGGGAAGACCACACAUAUUAAGGGACCAGCUCUCCCUGUCCCUCCAGUUCAGAUUCCCCACCUGGUAAAAGGAAGAGUUAAAGUGAAAGGAAAUGGAGUAUGACAUCAGACCUGAGGCCAAGUCCUUAAUUUGUUUUUUUGCUGAGGCCAAACUCAAGGAAGUCAACUGGAUCCUUGCCUGAGU